Molecule: non-coding RNA, 76 nt
Filed under: Syntrophus gentianae
Lineage: Bacteria; Pseudomonadati; Thermodesulfobacteriota; Syntrophia; Syntrophales; Syntrophaceae
Source: RNAcentral
AGGAGCCGGAUGAGCUGAGAGGUUCACGUCCGGUUCUCGGAGGGGCUGGGGGUGAAAGUCCCCCGGUCUACUCAAC